Molecule: long non-coding RNA, 308 nt
Filed under: Ananas comosus (pineapple)
Lineage: Eukaryota; Viridiplantae; Streptophyta; Magnoliopsida; Poales; Bromeliaceae
Description: long non-coding RNA (ACOM_LNC035778)
Source: RNAcentral
UGUUUCAAUUAGGGGGCGUUUUGGAUUGACGUAUUUGUAGAUUCAACAUAAGUCAAGUGUAGUAGUGUUUGAGUUUUUCUGAAGUAUGAUUAUUUUUUUGUUGUUUGUUUUGACGUAAUUCGUACCGCCUGAAAGUUAAAUUUAAUUACUUCUGUUGUUUGUUUUGAUGUAACUGGUAAAAUUAGUUUUUUGAAUUCCGUUGUUUGUUUUGAUGUAAGUAAGUGGAUCUCAUUAUCUCCUAAAUAUAGUAGUAAAUUUACCAUUAUAAAAUUUAAUCUAUUAUAUAAUUAAUUUUUUAUUAUUAUUUA